AACCCAUGGUGAGGGUACCUUCUCAAUAAAUCCUUAUACCUCUACCAUGCAUCAUGUAAAGUAUCUAAAUCCAUUUGCACGAAGGAAGAGAUAUCAUUCCUCAAGUU
Gossypium arboreum is the source of this 107-nucleotide non-coding RNA. The record is from Rfam. NCBI's taxonomy places the organism in Eukaryota, Viridiplantae, Streptophyta, Magnoliopsida, Malvales, Malvaceae.